CCUACGGGAGGCAGCAGUGAGGAAUAUUGGUCAAUGGACGAGAGUCUGAACCAGCCAAGUAGCGUGAAGGAUGACUGCCCUAUGGGUUGUAAACUUCUUUUAUAUGGGAAUAAAAUGUUCCACGUGUGGGAUUUUGUAUGUACCAUAUGAAUAAGGAUCGGCUAACUCCGUGCCAGCAGCCGCGGUAAUACGGAGGAUCCGAGCGUUAUCCGGAUUUAUUGGGUUUAAAGGGAGCGUAGGUGGAUUGUUAAGUCAGUUGUGAAAGUUUGCGGCUCAACCGUAAAAUUGCAGUUGAAACUGGCAGUCUUGAGUACAGUAGAGGUGGGCGGAAUUCGUGGUGUAGCGGUGAAAUGCUUAGAUAUCACGAAGAACUCCGAUUGCGAAGGCAGUUCACUGGACUGCAACUGACACUGAGGCUCGAAAGUGUGUGUAUCAAACAGGAUUAGAUACCCCAGUAGUC
This 460-nucleotide ribosomal RNA is filed under the name uncultured bacterium. RNAcentral's name for it is "partial 16S ribosomal RNA". It matches the Rfam family "Bacterial small subunit ribosomal RNA", at positions 338 to 795 of the family's 1533-position model. The record is from RNAcentral.